RNAcentral lists this ribosomal RNA (253 nucleotides) under uncultured bacterium. RNAcentral's name for it is "partial 16S ribosomal RNA". It matches the Rfam family "Bacterial small subunit ribosomal RNA", at positions 524 to 776 of the family's 1533-position model. The record is from RNAcentral.
UACAGGGGGCGCGAGCGUUGCUCGGAAUCACUGGGCGUAAAGCGUACGCAGGCGGACCGUUAAGUCGGAUGUGAAAUCCCAGGGCUCAACCCUGGAAGUGCAUUCGAUACUGGCGGUCUCGAGUACGGGAGAGGAGAGCGGAAUUCCUGGAGUAGAGGUGAAAUUCGUAGAUAUCAGGAGGAACACCGGUGGCGAAAGCGGCUCUCUGGCCCGAUACUGACGCUCAUGUACGAAAGCGUGGGGAGCAAACAGG